Molecule: transfer RNA, 72 nt
Filed under: Chelydra serpentina (North American snapping turtle)
Lineage: Eukaryota; Metazoa; Chordata; Testudines; Chelydridae
Description: tRNA-Arg
Rfam family: tRNA
About the family: Transfer RNA (tRNA) molecules are approximately 80 nucleotides in length. Their secondary structure includes four short double-helical elements and three loops (D, anti-codon, and T loops).
Source: RNAcentral
GCAUUGGUGGUGUAGUGGUGAGCAGAGCUGCCCUCUAAGCAGUUGACCUGGGUUCAAUUCCCAGCCAAUGCA